Molecule: ribosomal RNA, 372 nt
Filed under: uncultured organism
Description: bacterial SSU rRNA
Rfam family: Bacterial small subunit ribosomal RNA
Source: RNAcentral
CGGAGUGUGCGAGCGUUGUCCGGAAUCACUGGGCGUAAAGGGCGCGUAGGCGGUCUGCUAAGCGUGCGGUGAAAGCCUGGGGCUCAACCCCAGGUCUGCCGUGCGAACUGGUGGACUAGAGCACUGUAGAGGCAGGUGGAAUUUCGGGUGUAGCGGUGGAAUGCGUAGAGAUCCGAAAGAACACCGGUGGCGAAGGCGGCCUGCUGGGCAGUUGCUGACGCUGAGGCGCGACAGCGUGGGGAGCAAACAGGAUUAGAUACCCUGGUAGUCCACGCCGUAAACGAUGGGCACUAGGUGCUUGGGGGAGCGACCCCCCGAGUGCCGGCGCUAACGCAUUAAGUGCCCCGCCUGGGGAGUACGACCGCAAGGUUG